GAUGAACGCUGGCGGCGUGCCUAAUACAUGCAAGUCGAGCGAACAGACGAGGAGCUUGCUCCUCUGACGUUAGCGGCGGACGGGUGAGUACACGUGGAUAACCUACCUAUAAGACUGGGAUAACUUCGGGAAACCGGAGCUAAUACCGGAUAAUAUAUUGAACCGCAUGGUUCAAUAGUGAAAGACGGUUUUGCUGUCACUUAUAGAUGGAUCCGCGCCGCAUUAGCUAGUUGGUAAGGUAACGGCUUACCAAGGCAACGAUGCGUAGCCGACCUGAGAGGGUGAUCGGCCACACUGGAACUGAGACACGGUCCAGACUCCUACGGGAGGCAGCAGUAGGGAAUCUUCCGCAAUGGGCGAAAGCCUGACGGAGCAACGCCGCGUGAGUGAUGAAGGUCUUCGGAUCGUAAAACUCUGUUAUUAGGGAAGAACAAAUGUGUAAGUAACUAUGCACGUCUUGACGGUACCUAAUCAGAAAGCCACGGCUAACUACGUG
This 496-nucleotide ribosomal RNA is filed under the name uncultured bacterium. Its description in RNAcentral is "partial 16S ribosomal RNA". It matches the Rfam family "Bacterial small subunit ribosomal RNA", at positions 28 to 507 of the family's 1533-position model. The record is from RNAcentral.